UGGAUAUUCGUAGAGACAAGAAAAUAAACCCGCUUGUCCGGUGUCUGCUGGGCGUGUAGCAGCAGUAACCACCCGCGGGGGCAGCGGCAGCGCAGCUCGCUCCCCGCGUGGUGCCAGCCACCCUGCCGGGCAUCCGGCCCCUGCGAGGUUUUCUCUCUGCGCCGCCGUUGGCCAGCGGGCCCGGCCAGACCUCGUGCAUCACCGCGACGAGUCCGAGGCUUCCAGGAGCUCUUGGAAACCUCCUUCUUCUUGACGAGAAGCAGAGACUUCCAAGGAUUCACGGAUUUCCGGGUGGCAGGACUUGUGGUAAAACAGCAAAUGUCACCAGAUGUGCAGUGACACUGCAAGAGGUGAUUACUUCGUUCACACCAAUGUCAAAUUUUGAUUAACAAGAUCCAAAUGCAUUUCUAUUAACGAGUCUCUUUCAAAAUACUUUCUAUGCUUUGUAAAUGUUGCCCAGGUAGGUUGCUGACCCUACAAACACUGGAUUGUAACAAGUUCUGUGCAUAAAGUGUAUCCAUUAUUCCUA
Long non-coding RNA from Gavialis gangeticus (Gharial), 529 nucleotides. RefSeq lists it as uncharacterized. Lineage: Eukaryota; Metazoa; Chordata; Crocodylia; Gavialidae. The record is from RefSeq and is a predicted model, not a curated record. The transcript has 2 exons.